Molecule: ribosomal RNA, 253 nt
Filed under: uncultured bacterium
Lineage: Bacteria
Description: partial 16S ribosomal RNA
Rfam family: Bacterial small subunit ribosomal RNA
Source: RNAcentral
UACAGAGGGUGCGAGCGUUGUUCGGAAUUAUUGGGCGUAAAGGGCGCGUAGGCGGUGCGGCAAGUCACCUGUGAAACCUCUGGGCUUAACCCAGAGCCUGCAGGCGAAACUGCCGUGCUGGAGUGUGGGAGAGGUGCGUGGAAUUCCCGGUGUAGCGGUGAAAUGCGUAGAUAUCAGGAGGAACACCGGUGGCGAAGGCGGAUCUCUGGGCCUGUUCUGACGCUGAGGCGCGAAAGCUAGGGGAGCGAACAGG